GUCGGGGGAAUCUCUUGUUCUGGUUGAGUAACGCAGGUAAUCGAACCCAGGGAGAGGGUGUGGUUUCAUGGUUUUGAAAGUGGAAGAAUGAGUGUGAAUGAGUAACUCUUUCCUAAGUGCCUUUGUGCAAGGCACCACAACAGCAGCCAGGACAGUGUUUGAAAUCGCCAGUUAGCUUAGCUUAGCUUAGCUUAACAGAGCCUGUGACUAAGUCAGCUAAGAACCAAGGAUUAAUGUAGGGGGUUUUUCCCACUAUGGAGCAACAGUAAACCAUUAAACCCCAGACCCUGUUAGAGCCUCCAGUCUAGACAUCAUCCUUGAUCCAAUCACUCCUCCUAUCACCUCCAUUCAGUCACAACUCGUCUGGCGUCCACACUUUCUAUCCUCAGUGGUUCAUUUUGCCUUUUUUCCUUCAGUCAUGAGUGUCAGCUCGACAUCGUCGACCAUCUUUGUCCUGUUUUGUUUCCUCACAGUUCACAGCUUCGCUCUGAGAAACGCUCAGCCCAUGCCCCCCUGGCAUGGACAGAAGCUUCCAGAAAUUGAUGGUUUUCCAGUGGACACAUGCAACGUUUUUUUCAUCAACCCACCAGAGACGAUCACCAGCCCCCCGACAGCCACGACUUCCAUCGCCAUGACUACGCAGAUACCAACAACAACAGCCCACAAACGGCUCGCCAUCCAAACGCCACAAAAGAAAGAACAAAGCAAGAACCCAGGAGCACCAAUGAGUAACAGACCAAUGGUUUCUAGCCCGGCCCACCCUGCUCUCAGCCUCCUCCUUCAGCGGCUUCUGAUCUACAACAAAGGACACGCUCUGCAUUUCAACCACAAUUCACUUUCAAACAGAGUGAGGUCGGCGGGAAAAUGGAAGAAAGAUUCAGUUUCUUCAGAAGACUCUAGUGACGAGUCCUAAAAUCACAAAAGUUACUUCGUCUGAUUGAAAUUGAGAAAACAAACAUCUCUAGAAAAGUCUCUAUACUUGUUUUUGAUGUUGCGUAGAAAGUUUAAUAAAUCACAGCAGCUUUUGGUCCA
Molecule: long non-coding RNA, 1032 nt
Filed under: Gouania willdenowi (blunt-snouted clingfish)
Lineage: Eukaryota; Metazoa; Chordata; Actinopteri; Blenniiformes; Gobiesocidae
Description: lncRNA (ENSGWIG00000019779.1)
Source: RNAcentral